UCGAUGCUUUAAUACGGAGAUGUAAGAAUACUCCUGCCCUCUAGUGCAUACGCUGCGCAACAACAGUGUAAUUUUACGCGGGAGAUGGUACCUGCACUACAGUUUUGGAAAAUAGUGCAAAAUAUUAACAAAUCGUCGAUUUAUUUGAAAUGCCUGUUCAAAAUUGAUGGAAAUAAUUGGGAAUAGUGCUAAUGAAAAUAUCCCUUUCAAAAGACCUAGUUACAGAAAAUCCUCUCCCCCUGGUGGGAUACGGAGUGCACACAAAUAAUAACCCAUUACGGAUUAUAAGCAGAACACACUUAUAUUACCAACAUGAAGACUGAGUACCUGCUUAACUUUCGACGGAUAUCAGCCAAAGCAAAGAGUAUGUUUCACAAGAAGAAGCAGGAAAGCUGGAAACAAUUUUGGGAUAGCCGUUCACCAAAUACACCUGCAAAUCUGGUUUGGCACAAUGGCCUGAAAGGCGUGUGUACCAAGAGGUUCUCCAGCAAUCUCAGCAGAAACAGAUGAAAGUCUAUUUGACAGAUUAGCUCCUUCAACAGCCCCAGCGCAGAAAGAAUAUCUAGGGAGUCUUCCAACCAGAAUUAAUGUCAUAUAGAGAGAUUCAUUUACCAUGUAAUUAUUAAGUCUUGGAAACCUCUGUUGCCCUUUAUUCGAACCAGAAUACACAUCUGGCAAAGAUUAGAAUCACUAUAAUUCUUCAUUUGAACAUUUUUUGUAGCAGACUUUUCAGAAGAGGUAAACAAAUUCUUAUCCAGCGAUGAUAUUAUUAUGUAUUUAUAUAAUUAUGAUUAAAAACAAUUUGCUAUUAAGUAUUUAUUUUAGUUUAGUAUUUUUACUUUAACUGAUAAAGACAUAUUAAAACAAGUACUAUAUGACAGAACGAAGUUUGAAUGAAAACGAAGAAGUAUUUGAGGAAACGAAACGAAUGACAAAAGUCCGACAUAUUAGAGUCGUGUCUACAUUAAAUGAAAUAGGCGGAUGAAAUAGAUAUUUGCAUUCCAGAAAAAAAUGUUGUUUCGUAAAUUGAGGAAUGAAGCAUUUUCUAUGUCACGUAAUAACAUGCGCCAAAGUACCAUAGCAGAUUAUUUAAAAAAAAAAUUAUAUGUAUUUAAAAUACUAAUAUAUAUAUUAAUACCCUCCAAAGGGUAGAUUGAAAUUAAAUAGAAAAAAAAAUGUAUUGUUUUUUAUAAAUUUCGGUUUGUUUUAGAUAUUACGCUUAAGGAAAACACCGUCUGAAUUACAGAUAUUGCAUACAACAAUAUAAACUAGAUUUGAUAUUGUUAAUUUAGGCUGUAAAAGUUACAUUAAAUUAGAAUAAGUGAAUUUAAUUUAGUUCAAUUUUGUGUUUUAUUUUUACCACUUAGUAUAAUAAAUAAAUAGUAUUUUUAUUUCUUUGUUUAAUAAAAUAAUUCAUUUUAUUAGUUUUAUUAUAGGGGUUUAAUUAAAUAUUAAAAGAAUUGAUUGUAACUACACUCGUUAACAGAAAUAAAGCAAUUAAUUGAACUCACUGUCCAUACAAGAAACAUUGCAUGUUUGUGCCAUUAUAACUGGAUAGUCCAAAAAGAUAAUUUAUGUCUACAGGUAUUUAGAUGGACAAUUUUAACUCUGUAAUUUUAAUUAAAAAAAAAAAUUAUUUGAUUUCUUCUCCACAAAGACUUAUUAAUUUUGUUUGUAAACUUUUUUAAUUCAAUUUAUUUUACAAUAUUAUUAACAUCUAUGAAAUGGUGUAGCUCAUGAAAAAAUGCCAAGUGACAAAAGCUAAUACCCUCAAAAAAGCCUGUUCAAUUAAAUAAAGACUAUAAAGACUCUCAGCAAUAAGACCGCCUUACUGUACUUAAGACAAUUUACAAACACAACGAUACAAUUGUAAUUGUAUCGUUGUGUUUGUAAAUUGUCUUGUAUAUUUCCUAUAAUGCAAAUAAAGCCAAUCAAUCAAUCUUUAUUCAUAUACAUCUGUUACAGAUUCUUAUGAUACAUCUAAUUUAUAAUUAUAAUAAUUACUAUAUAAAAUAAUAUUAAUUUAAAAAAAAUUACAAUAAUUACAUUUACAAUACAAUUAUACUCAUUCAAGUAUACUCAUUCAUUCAUUCUAAAAAAUGUGGAGUUAUUUAAACAUAAAAAAAAUUAUCAAAGUUAACGAUCAAGACCUGCUCUUAGGAGAAUCCAACCAAUUAUUUUACAAUAUUAAUAACAACAAUAUGAAAUAGGGUGGCACAUGAAAAAUACAAAUACCCUCGAGAAAGCCUAUUUGAUUAAUUAAAGAAUAUAAAAAAGUG
Long non-coding RNA from Galleria mellonella (greater wax moth), 2279 nucleotides. RefSeq lists it as uncharacterized. The transcript has 2 exons. The record is from RefSeq and is a predicted model, not a curated record. Lineage: Eukaryota; Metazoa; Arthropoda; Insecta; Lepidoptera; Pyralidae.